RNAcentral lists this ribosomal RNA (425 nucleotides) under uncultured bacterium. RNAcentral describes it as "partial 16S ribosomal RNA". It matches the Rfam family "Bacterial small subunit ribosomal RNA", at positions 354 to 796 of the family's 1533-position model. The record is from RNAcentral.
GUGGGGAAUCUUGCGCAAUGGGCGAAAGCCUGACGCAGCCAUGCCGCGUGAAUGAUGAAGGUCUUAGGAUUGUAAAAUUCUUUCACCGGGGACGAUAAUGACGGUACCCGGAGAAGAAGCUCCGGCUAACUUCGUGCCAGCAGCCGCGGUAAUACGAAGGGGGCUAGCGUUGCUCGGAAUUACUGGGCGUAAAGGGCGCGUAGGCGGACAGCUUAGUCAGAGGUGAAAGCCCAGGGCUUAACCUUGGAAUUGCCUUUGAUACUGGCUGUCUUGAGUUUGGGAGAGGUGAGUGGAACUCCGAGUGUAGAGGUGAAAUUCGUAGAUAUUCGGAAGAACACCAGUGGCGAAGGCGACUCACUGGCCCAAUACUGACGCUGAGGCGCGAAAGCGUGGGGAGCAAACAGGAUUAGAAACCCUGGUAGUCC